This 551-nucleotide ribosomal RNA is filed under the name uncultured Glomeromycotina. RNAcentral's name for it is "SSU rRNA". It matches the Rfam family "Eukaryotic small subunit ribosomal RNA", at positions 548 to 1098 of the family's 1831-position model. Lineage: Eukaryota; Fungi; Glomeromycota. The record is from RNAcentral.
UUGGAGGGCAAGUCUGGUGCCAGCAGCCGCGGUAAUUCCAGCUCCAAUAGCGUAUAUUAAAGUUGUUGCAGUUAAAAAGCUCGUAGUUGAAUUUCGGGAUCAAUACGUCGGUCGUGCUUUUUUGGUACGCACUGGCGUCAUUGGUUUCUCCUUUCUGACGAACCAUGAUGUCAUUAAUUUGGUGUUAUGGGGAGUUAGGACUGUUACUUUGAAAAAAUUAGAGUGUUUAAAGCAGGCAUUAGCUUGAAUACAUUAGCAUGGAAUAAUGAAAUAGGACGUUCGAUCCUAUUUUGUUGGUUUCUAGGAUCAACGUAAUGAUUAAUAGGGAUAGUUGGGGGCAUUAGUAUUCAAUUGUCAGAGGUGAAAUUCUUGGAUUUAUUGAAGACUAACUACUGCGAAAGCAUUUGCCAAGGAUGUUUUCAUUAAUCAAGAACGAAAGUUAGGGGAUCGAAGACGAUCAGAUACCGUCGUAGUCUUAACCAUAGACUAUGCCGACUAGGGAUCGGAUGAUGUUAAUUUUAUAAUGACUCAUUCGGCGCCUUACGGGAAAC